Triticum aestivum (bread wheat) is the source of this 132-nucleotide non-coding RNA. The record is from Rfam. NCBI's taxonomy places the organism in Eukaryota, Viridiplantae, Streptophyta, Magnoliopsida, Poales, Poaceae.
UACAUACUCUUUCUGUCCCAAAAUAAAUGUCGCCGAUUUAGUACAACUUUGGUAAUUUAGUACCAAAGUUUACUAAAUUACCAAAGUUGUACUAAAUCGGCGACAUUUAUUUUGGGACGGAGGGAGUAGAUU